This 468-nucleotide ribosomal RNA is filed under the name uncultured bacterium. RNAcentral describes it as "partial 16S ribosomal RNA". It matches the Rfam family "Bacterial small subunit ribosomal RNA", at positions 28 to 507 of the family's 1533-position model. The record is from RNAcentral.
GACGAACGCUGGCGGCGUGCUUAACACAUGCAAGUCGAACGGAAAGGCCCUGGUUUGGUGGGGUGCUCGAGUGGCGAACGGGUGAGUAACACGUGGGUAACCUGCCCUUCACUUUGGGAUAAGCUCAGGAAACUGGGGCUAAUACCGGAUAGGAUCUCCCGCUGCUUGGUGGGGGGGGGAGUGUUUCGGUGGUUGGUGAUGGACUGGCCUCUCAUCAGCUUGUUGGUGGGGUAGUGGCCUACCAAGGCUUGGACGGGUAGCCGGCCUGAGAGGGUGAACGGCCACAUUGGGACUGAGACACGGCCCAGACUCCUACGGGAGGCAGCAGUGGGGAAUAUUGCACAAUGGGCGGAAGCCUGAUGCAGCAACGCCGCGUGCGGGAUGACGGCCUUCGGGUUGUAAACCGCUUUCGCCUGGGACGAAGCGUGUGUGACGGUACCUGGUAAAGAAGCACCGGCUAACUACGUG